Molecule: ribosomal RNA, 460 nt
Filed under: uncultured bacterium
Lineage: Bacteria
Description: partial 16S ribosomal RNA
Rfam family: Bacterial small subunit ribosomal RNA
Source: RNAcentral
CCUACGGGAGGCAGCAGUGAGGAAUAUUGGUCAAUGGACGAGAGUCUGAACCAGCCAAGUAGCGUGAAGGAUGACUGCCCUAUGGGUUGUAAACUUCUUUUAUAUGGGAAUAAAAUGUUCCACGUGUGGGAUUCUGUAUGUACCAUAUGAAUAAGGAUCGGCUAACUCCGUGCCAGCAGCCGCGGUAAUACGGAGGAUCCGAGCGUUAUCCGGAUUUAUUGGGUUUAAAGGGAGCGUAGGUGGAUUGUUAAGUCAGUUGUGAAAGUUUGCGGCUCAACCGUAAAAUUGCAGUUGAAACUGGCAGUCUUGAGUACAGGAGAGGUGGGCGGAAUGCGUGGUGUAGCGGUGAAAUGCUUAGAUAUCACGAAGAACUCCGAUUGCGAAGGCAGCUCACUGGACUGCAACUGACACUGAGGCACGAAAGUGUGGGUAUCAAACAGGAUUAGAUACCCUAGUAGUC